This 167-nucleotide unclassified non-coding RNA is filed under the name uncultured Cadophora. RNAcentral's name for it is "sequence contains ITS1". The record is from RNAcentral. Lineage: Eukaryota; Fungi; Ascomycota; Leotiomycetes; Helotiales.
CCGAGUUCGUGCCCUUCGGGGUAGACCUCCCACCCUGUGUUAUCACUACCUUUGUUGCUUUGGCGGGCCGUCAGGCCUCGGCCUGGCUACCGGCUUCCGCUGGUACGCGCCCGCCAGAGGACCCAAACCCUAAAUAUUAGUGUCGUCUGAGUACUAUAUAAUAGUUA